Molecule: small nuclear RNA, 107 nt
Filed under: Echinops telfairi (small Madagascar hedgehog)
Lineage: Eukaryota; Metazoa; Chordata; Mammalia; Afrosoricida; Tenrecidae
Description: U1 spliceosomal RNA (ENSETEG00000025429.1)
Rfam family: U1 spliceosomal RNA
About the family: U1 is a small nuclear RNA (snRNA) component of the spliceosome (involved in pre-mRNA splicing). Its 5' end forms complementary base pairs with the 5' splice junction, thus defining the 5' donor site of an intron.
Source: RNAcentral
AUACUUACCUGGCAGGGGAGAUACCAUGAUCACGAAGGUGAUUUUCCCAGGGCGAAGCUAAUCCAUUGCACUCCGGAUGGGCUGACCCCUGCAAUUUCUACACACAC